GGGUUAUUAUGAUGCAGGAGAUGCAAUCAAGUUUAAUUUCCCUCAGUCAUUUGCUCUCACCAUGUUGAGUUGGAGUGUGAUCGAGUACAGUGCUAAAUAUGAAGCUGCUGGGGAGCUCGCUCAUGUUAAAGAUACUAUUAAGUGGGGUACUGAUUAUCUCCUGAAGACUUUCAAUUCCUCUGCUGAUACCAUAGACCGGAUUGCUGCACAGGUUGGAAAAGGGGAUACUACCGGAGGGGCUACUGACCCCAAUGAUCACUAUUGCUGGGUGCGUCCUGAAGACAUUGAUUACGCUCGGCCUGUGACUGAAUGUCACGGCUGCUCGGACCUUGCUGCAGAGAUGGCUGCUGCGCUGGCUUCUGCCUCCAUUGUUUUUAAGGACAACAAAGCUUACUCGCAAAAGCUUGUACAUGGUGCUAGAACUCUCUUCAAAUUUUCUAGAGACCAGCGUGGAAGAUACAGCGUCGGCAAUGAAGCUGAAACUUUCUAUAAUUCCACCGGUUAUUGGGAUGAGUUUAUAUGGGGUGCGGCUUGGCUGUAUUAUGCUACUGGAAAUUCUUCAUAUCUUCAGCUUGCUACAACACCUGGUAUUGCCAAACAUGCUGGUGCUUUCUGGGGAGGUCC
Molecule: unclassified non-coding RNA, 624 nt
Filed under: Hevea brasiliensis (rubber tree)
Lineage: Eukaryota; Viridiplantae; Streptophyta; Magnoliopsida; Malpighiales; Euphorbiaceae
Source: RNAcentral